GAUGAACGCUGGCGGCGUGCCUAAUACAUGCAAGUCGAGCGAACGGACGAGAAGCUUGCUUCUCUGAUGUUAGCGGCGGACGGGUGAGUAACACGUGGAUAACCUACCUAUAAGACUGGGAUAACUUCGGGAAACCGUAGCUAAUACCGGAUAAUAUUUUGAACCGCAUGGUUCAAAAGUGAAAGACGGUCUUGCUGUCACUUAUAGAUGGAUCCGCGCUGCAUUAGCUAGUUGGUAAGGUAACGGCUUACCAAGGCAACGAUGCAUAGCCGACCUGAGAGGGUGGACGGCCACACUGGAACUGAGACCCGGUCCGGACUCCUACGGGAGGCAGCAGUAGGGAAUCGUCCGCGAUGGGCGAAAGCCUGACGGAGCAACGCCAGGUGAAUGAUGAAGGUCUUCGGAUCGUAAAAAUCUGUUAUUAGGGAAGAACAUAUGUGUAAGUAACUGUGCACAUCUUGACGGUACCUAAUCAGAAAGCCACGGCUAACUACGUG
This 497-nucleotide ribosomal RNA is filed under the name uncultured bacterium. RNAcentral's name for it is "partial 16S ribosomal RNA". It matches the Rfam family "Bacterial small subunit ribosomal RNA", at positions 28 to 507 of the family's 1533-position model. The record is from RNAcentral.